Molecule: ribosomal RNA, 580 nt
Filed under: Fusarium acuminatum
Lineage: Eukaryota; Fungi; Ascomycota; Sordariomycetes; Hypocreales; Nectriaceae
Description: eukaryotic LSU rRNA
Rfam family: 5.8S ribosomal RNA (bases 206-359)
Source: RNAcentral
UGAAGUUAAAAGCGUAACAAGGUCUCCGUUGGUGAACCAGCGGAGGGAUCAUUACCGAGUUUACAACUCCCAAACCCCUGUGAACAUACCUUAAUGUUGCCUCGGCGGAUCAGCCCGCGCCCCGUAAAACGGGACGGCCCGCCAGAGGACCCAAACUCUAAUGUUUCUUAUUGUAACUUCUGAGUAAAACAAACAAAUAAAUCAAAACUUUCAACAACGGAUCUCUUGGUUCUGGCAUCGAUGAAGAACGCAGCAAAAUGCGAUAAGUAAUGUGAAUUGCAGAAUUCAGUGAAUCAUCGAAUCUUUGAACGCACAUUGCGCCCGCUGGUAUUCCGGCGGGCAUGCCUGUUCGAGCGUCAUUUCAACCCUCAAGCCCCCGGGUUUUGUUGGGGAUCGGCUCUGCCCUUCUGGGCGGUGCCGCCCCCGAAAUACAUUGGCGGUCUCGCUGCAGCCUCCAUUGCGUAGUAGCUAACACCUCGCAACUGGAACGCGGCGCGGCCAUGCCGUAAAACCCCAACUUCUGAAUGUGACCUCGGAUCAGGUAGGAAUACCCGCUGAACUUAAUAUCAUAGGCCAGGAA